GAAUGAGAGAAAUAGAAAAUCGACAUUAGGCAAACACCACGGUAAUACCUGUCCCAAACAAGAGCUACCGAUGAUUCCUCAGAUUAACAGCCAAAAGUUUUGAGACAGCUUAUUACUCAAAUAUCUCCCCCAAGAUAUUUUUUAAUUACAAAGGGAUUAGUAGUAACUUCAUGGUGGAGAAACUUGACCAAAAUACCUUAAACAAGUGAUGUCGGCAUAAGAUAGAACACUGUUGACGUUGAGAAAUGAGACAGAGUACAUGGGAACCCCAGACCAUACAAAACACAGGCAGUGAAGAUGAACUCACUGCUCUCGUGGGCCAGGUGAGCAAGGGGCCUUCAGAACUGGGGCUGACGCUGGCGUCUCAGAGUGGCUGGGGUGGAUGGGCUGCUGUGGAAUCUCUGCUGCCCAAGCUGUCUCUACUGGCUUGGCAGGUACGAGUGCCGUGAGCAGGGACAAACUUGGCAACUGGGAGGAACAGCAAGGAGGCAGCACAGGAGCUUACAGAUGAGUGAGAGGAGGAUGGUGAGAGGCGAGAUCAGACACACAGCGUGAGUCAGACCGUCAGGACCACAGCAGGAGCGCUGGGCAGGCUCUCCAUUGUGGUGCUCGGGCAUCUCUCUAGCUGCCCCGUGGCACAUGGGGUCCUAGUUCCCUGACCAGGGGUCAAACCGGCAUCCCCGGCAUCCCCUGCAUCGGAAGGCAGAUUCUUAACCACUGGACCACCAGGGAAGCCCCAGAUCGUCCUCUUGAUGUCUGGGAAGAGUUUAACGAGACCGUUGAGAUCUGGUCCACAGACAAACCCAACUGUGCUUUCCGUCUGCGUGUUUGUUGCUAGUGCAAAGGUGGAUUCUGGCAAACUCCAUCAGUCAGUGAUCUUACCAAGGAAAUGAACAGAACUUAGCUGCUAAAUGUCCUCUGAGCCCGUGUACACAACCCUGCAAAUAAAGAAAUGGAAGCAGAAGCCUCUUAAGAAAGUCCCCACAAGAAACCUGUCCUUGUUGCAUUCAGAGAAAAGACAUUCACAUGCUGGUCUGCUGUCAAAGCUUCUCUCUCAGAGCUGACGGAGGAGUGCCCGCCUCUGGUCUGGAAAUUCAUCAGGGAUGAGACCGGAGAGACAGCCUGCCCGAAGACAGAGCUUUAUGUGCUUCUCUCCAGCCUUUGAAGGGCCUCUGAAGAGGCCACAAGCGGAUGGACUGGUGCAGCUGGCUGCGCGACGCUCCUUGCAGCUCGUGACAGUGACCCAGGAACAG
Molecule: long non-coding RNA, 1253 nt
Organism: Bos taurus (domestic cattle)
Lineage: Eukaryota; Metazoa; Chordata; Mammalia; Artiodactyla; Bovidae
Source: Ensembl